GAUGAACGCUGGCGGCGUGCCUAAUACAUGCAAGUCGAGCGAACAGACGAGGAGCUUGCUCCUCUGACGUUAGCGGCGGACGGGUGAGUAACACGUGGAUAACCUACCUAUAAGACUGGGAUAACUUCGGGAAACCGGAGCUAAUACCGGAUAAUAUAUUGAACCGCAUGGUUCAAUAGUGAAAGACGGUUUUGCUGUCACUUAUAGAUGGAUCCGCGCCGCAUUAGCUAGUUGGUAAGGUAACGGCUUACCAAGGCGACGAUGCGUAGCCGACCUGAGAGGGUGAUCGGCCACACUGGAACUGAGACACGGUCCAGACUCCUACGGAAGGCAGCAGUAGGGAAUCUUCCGCGAUGGGCGAAAGCCUGACGCAGCAACGCCGCGUGAGUGAUGAAGGUCUUCGGAUCGUAAAACUCUGUUAUUAGGAAAGAACAAAUGUGUAAGUAACUAUGCACGUCUUGACGGUACCUAAUCAGAAAGCCACGGCUAACUACGUG
Molecule: ribosomal RNA, 497 nt
Filed under: uncultured bacterium
Lineage: Bacteria
Description: partial 16S ribosomal RNA
Rfam family: Bacterial small subunit ribosomal RNA
Source: RNAcentral